CCGGUCUGAACUCAGAUCACGUAAGAUUUUAAAGGUCGAACAGACCCAAAUUAUUAGGUUUUGCCCCAUAACUAAUUCUUAAUCCAACAUCGAGGUCGUAAUAAAUUUUAUGAAUUUGGUCUUGUUAAAAAUUUUACGCUGUUAUCCCUUAGGUAAUUUAGUAUUGUUUUGUAUUUACAGAUUUAUUAAUAGUUUCACUUAUUAGUGUAAUUAAACAAUAAAAGGUUUUUGUUUUAUCGUCGCCCCAGCUAAAAACCAAUUAAUAAAUUAAUAUUUGAUGUUUUAAAACUCUAAAGGGUCUUUUUGUCUUUUAAAGUUUAUUUAAGAUUUUUCAMUUAGUGAUUAGUUUUAAUUUUUAAGGUAAGGAAUAAGUUAGUUUCUCAUUAAACCAUUCAUUCAGGCUUUUAAUUAAAAAGCAAUUUAUUACGCUACCUUAGUGCAGUUAAAUUACCGCAGCUAUUUAAAUUUUUCACUGAGCAGGAUCUAUAUAA
This 491-nucleotide ribosomal RNA is filed under the name Bemisia tabaci. Its description in RNAcentral is "partial 16S ribosomal RNA". The record is from RNAcentral. Lineage: Eukaryota; Metazoa; Arthropoda; Insecta; Hemiptera; Aleyrodidae.